This 549-nucleotide ribosomal RNA is filed under the name uncultured bacterium. RNAcentral's name for it is "partial 16S ribosomal RNA". It matches the Rfam family "Bacterial small subunit ribosomal RNA", at positions 355 to 921 of the family's 1533-position model. The record is from RNAcentral.
UGGGGAAUAUUGGACAAUGGGGGCAACCCUGAUCCAGCCAUGCCGCGUGAGUGAUGAAGGCCUUCGGGUUGUAAAGCUCUUUUGGCGGGGACGAUGAUGACGGUACCCGCAGAAUAAGCCCCGGCUAACUUCGUGCCAGCAGCCGCGGUAAGACGAAGGGGGCUAGCGUUGUUCGGAAUUACUGGGCGUAAAGCGAGUGUAGGCGGUUGCCGUAGUCAGGUGUGAAAGCCUUGAGCUCAACUCAAGAAAUGCACUUGAUACUGGGUGACUAGAGGACCGGAGAGGAUAGUGGAAUUCCCAGUGUAGUGGUGAAAUACGUAGAGAUUGGGAAGAACACCAGUGGCGAAGGCGGCUAUCUGGACGGUUACUGACGCUAAGACUCGAAAGCGUGGGGAGCAAAACAGGAUUAGAUACCCUGGUAGUCCACGCCGUAAAUGAUGGGUGCUAGACGUUGGCGAGCUUGCUCGUCAGUGUCGCAGCUAACGCGUUAAGCACCCCGCCUGGGGAGUNCGGCCGCAAGGUUGAAACUCAAAUGAAUUGACGGGGGUC